GGGAGUAGCAAUACAACUGGUGGCGACCGGCGCACGGGUGAGUAACGCGUAUGCAACCCAUCUAUCAGAGGGGAAUAACCCGGCGAAAGUCGGACUAAUACCGCAUAAAACAGGGACACCGCAUGGUGAUAUUUGUUAAAGAAAUUCGCUGAUAGAUGGGCAUGCGUUCCAUUAGGUAGUUGGUGAGGUAACGGCUCACCAAGCCGACGAUGGAUAGGGGAACUGAGAGGUUGGUCCCCCACACUGGUACUGAGACACGGACCAGACUCCUACGGGAGGCAGCAGUGAGGAAUAUUGGUCAAUGGGCGAGAGCCUGAACCAGCCAAGUCGCGUGAAGGAAGAAGGAUCUAUGGUUCGUAAACUUCUUUUGCAGGGGAAUAAAGUGCAGGACGUGUCCUGUUUUGUAUGUACCCUGAGAAUAAGGAUCGGCUAACUCCGUGCCAGCAGCCGCGGUAAUACGGAGGAUCCGAGCGUUAUCCGGAUUUAUUGGGUUUAAAGGGUGCGUAGGUGGUUUGAUAAGUCAGCGGUGAAAGUUUGCAGCUUAACUGUAAAAAUGCCGUUGAAACUGUCGGACUUGAGUGUAAAUGAGGUAGGCGGAAUGCGUGGUGUAGCGGUGAAAUGCUUAGAUAUCACGAAGAACUCCGAUUG
This 648-nucleotide ribosomal RNA is filed under the name uncultured Bacteroidales bacterium. RNAcentral's name for it is "bacterial SSU rRNA". It matches the Rfam family "Bacterial small subunit ribosomal RNA", at positions 67 to 715 of the family's 1533-position model. The record is from RNAcentral. Lineage: Bacteria; Pseudomonadati; Bacteroidota; Bacteroidia; Bacteroidales.